This 253-nucleotide ribosomal RNA is filed under the name uncultured bacterium. Its description in RNAcentral is "partial 16S ribosomal RNA". It matches the Rfam family "Bacterial small subunit ribosomal RNA", at positions 524 to 776 of the family's 1533-position model. The record is from RNAcentral.
UACGGGGGGAGCAAACGUUGUUCGGAAUCACUGGGCGUAAAGGGCGUGUAGGCGGCUGGAUAAGUGGGAUGUUAAAUCCCCCGGCUCAACCGGGGACCUGCAUCUCAUACCGUUCAGCUCGAGCACAUCAGAGGAGACUGGAAUUCCCGGUGUAGCGGUGAAAUGCGUAGAUAUCGUGAGGAAGACCAGUGGCGAAGGCGGGUCUCUGGACAGUUCCUGACGCUGAGGCGCGAAGGCCAGGGGAGCAAACGGG